This 291-nucleotide ribosomal RNA is filed under the name uncultured bacterium. RNAcentral's name for it is "partial 16S ribosomal RNA". It matches the Rfam family "Bacterial small subunit ribosomal RNA", at positions 505 to 796 of the family's 1533-position model. The record is from RNAcentral.
GUGCCAGCAGCCGCGGUAAUACGUAGGGGGCAAGCGUUGUCCGGAAUUAUUGGGCGUAAAGCGCGCGCAGGCGGCUUGUUAAGUCCGGUGUUUAAAUCCAGGGCUCAACCUUGGGUCGCACGGGAAACUGGGAAGCUUGAGUGUAGGAGAGGGAAGUGGAAUUCCACGUGUAGCGGUGAAAUGCGUAGAGAUGUGGAGGAACACCAGUGGCGAAGGCGACUUCCUGGCCUAUAACUGACGCUGAGGCGCGAAAGCGUGGGGAGCAAACAGGAUUAGAUACCCUGGUAGUCC